UGAGCAUCAUAGUUGUGGGUCAGUAGGGGCAUACUAAGUCUAAUACGUUGUAAAAGUUAAAGAAAAUCUUAAAAGCAACACGUUCUAACAUGUUGUAAAACUGUAUGAAACGUUACAUUUUGAACACAAAUAAAAAAAAUUCUUCAGGUAUAUGCAACAAUGCUA
Long non-coding RNA from Sebastes umbrosus (honeycomb rockfish), 165 nucleotides. RefSeq lists it as uncharacterized. The record is from RefSeq and is a predicted model, not a curated record. The transcript is spliced from 4 exons. Lineage: Eukaryota; Metazoa; Chordata; Actinopteri; Perciformes; Sebastidae.